AGUGAACGCUGGCGGUAGGCCUAACACAUGCAAGUCGAACGGCAGCACAGUAAGAGCUUGCUCUUACGGGUGGCGAGUGGCGGACGGGUGAGGAAUACAUCGGAAUCUACUUUUUCGUGGGGGAUAACGUAGGGAAACUUACGCUAAUACCGCAUACGACCUACGGAUGAAAGCAGGGGAUCUUCGGACCUUGCGCGAUUGAAUGAGCCGAUGUCGGAUGAGCUAGUUGGCGGGGUAAAGGCCCACCAAGGCGACGAUCCGUAGCUGGUCUGAGAGGAUGAUCAGCCACACUGGAAGUGAGACACGGUCCAGACUCCUACGGGAGGCAGCAGUGGGGAAUAUUGGACAAUGGGCGCAAGCCUGAUCCAGCCAUACCGCGUGGGUGAAGAAGGCCUUCGGGUUGUAAAGCCCUUUUGUUGGGAAAGAAAAGCAGCAGGUUAAUACCCCGCUGUUCUGACGGUACCCAAAGAAUAAGCACCGGCUAACUUCGUG
Molecule: ribosomal RNA, 492 nt
Filed under: uncultured bacterium
Lineage: Bacteria
Description: partial 16S ribosomal RNA
Rfam family: Bacterial small subunit ribosomal RNA
Source: RNAcentral